Molecule: long non-coding RNA, 1424 nt
Filed under: Pan troglodytes (chimpanzee)
Lineage: Eukaryota; Metazoa; Chordata; Mammalia; Primates; Hominidae
Description: long non-coding RNA NONPTRT001473
Source: RNAcentral
GCGCGCCUUACCAGGGCUGGGCGCACAGAGUGCUGCGCAGGAAGGCCACGGCGCCCCCCGACAGCCCCGCGUAGCAGCGGCUCAGCCGGACCAGCCCCUUGCGCAGUCCUCUCUGCAGGUCCUCAGCCACCACCACCAGGAUGGUCAGAAGCUGGAAGUUCUUGAGGGUGGCAGAGAUGAGGACACGGCUGCUGCUCUCCAGGGGGGCUCCGUCUGCAAAAGGACAGAGCAAGCCUCAUGCCACAGCCAGGCCUCACACCUCUCCCUGGGCCUCAGUUUUCCUCCGGACAGCGAGGCAUCCCGUGUGGCCAGCUCACAGGAUGGCCACUCACCCGAUUUCACACAGCCCCCAGCCCCUGGGACAGCUUCUUACCUUUGCUCCAGGUGGCCUGGGCAGCUGGCUGGGCUGACACCUGGCAGGCCAGUGUCACUGACUGGCCCAGGACCACAGUCUCAUCUGAGAGCUCCCUUAGGAAUGUCGGCGCUGAGGAGGGAGGGUGAGGUCAGCCUUCAGGGGUGACCUCCAGGCCCCAGAGCAUGGCCUGGACCCUGGAGACACCAGGAGGAGCCCUGCCCCACCACUGCCAACUCCCCAGCCUGGCCCAUCUGCACCACCAUCACCUCCUCCAGGAAGUCCUCCAAGACUGCUCAGUUCACCACACCCACCAGGACCCCUCAUCUGUUCCCACACCCAUGCUCGUCCAGCGGCAGGUGCCUCCCAGGGAAGUGGAAGAGGCUGCGUGACGGCGAGGACCACUUGCGCUUCCUGCCCACGGCAGCCUCCGCCAGCAGCGCGUCCACAUCCUCUGGCUCCUCUGUGAUCUCCAGGCCUGCGUGGGGGCCCAGUUCACCUGGCCAGGGCCACGUGGGCUCCGGGAACUCGGCCAGCUCCUCCUCAGCCAUGGGGGAGGGCGGCUCUGGCUGAGCGGACUUGGGGACUUUCCUGAAGAUCAUAAACUCGAAUGGGAGGUACUUGAUAUCGUACAGGUCUGAGAGGUUGAGGUAGGCGGGGUCCACCUCAGAAAUGUCCAGGGAUAUUGUGUCGGCCGCCUCCGCAUCACCUGACAGGUCCCGGAUCUGCACCAAGGAGACCUGCCCGAUGUCCUCCCAUGGGGUGGGCUCUGGAGAGCUCCUGGCGGGAGCCCUGCCGACCUCAGGCACAGGCCUUGCACUGACCUGGGGCAGUGGGCUCUCAGCCCUGGCCUCCUCUUGCUGCUCCUCCGACUGGGACUCAGCCCUGGCCUCCUCCUGCUCCUCCUCCUCCGACUGGGACACAGCCCAGGCUAUCCUGGCCCACAUGGGCCCCUGCCCCAGCAUGCCCCCUGCAUCUCCACCAAAGGCAAAGGUGCCAUAGCCAGCCACGCCUGCGUAGCCCCCACGACCACCCAGGGAGAACUUCCGCAUGGUCGCCUGUUCCUGAGGCC